GACGAACGCUGGCGGCGUGCCUAAUACAUGCAAGUAGAACGCUGAAGAGAGGAGCUUGCUCUUCUUGGAUGAGUUGCGAACGGGUGAGUAACGCGUAGGUAACCUGCCUGGUAGCGGGGGAUAACUAUUGGAAACGAUAGCUAAUACCGCAUAAAAUGGAUUAUCGCAUGAUAAUCCAUUGAAAGGUGCAAAUGCAUCACUACCAGAUGGACCUGCGUUGUAUUAGCUAGUUGGUGGGGUAACGGCUCACCAAGGCGACGAUACAUAGCCGACCUGAGAGGGUGGUCGGCCACACUGGGACUGAGACACGGCCCAGACUCCUACGGGAGGCAGCAGUAGGGAAUCUUCGGCAAUGGACGGAAGUCUGACCGAGCAACGCCGCGUGAGUGAAGAAGGGUUUCGGAUCGUAAAGCUCUGUUGUAAGAGAAGAACGAGUGUGAGAGUGGAAAGUUCACACUGUGACGGUAUCUUACCAGAAAGGGACGGCUAACUACGUG
RNAcentral lists this ribosomal RNA (497 nucleotides) under uncultured bacterium. RNAcentral's name for it is "partial 16S ribosomal RNA". It matches the Rfam family "Bacterial small subunit ribosomal RNA", at positions 28 to 507 of the family's 1533-position model. The record is from RNAcentral.